UUCAUUGCUUUAUAACUCAAAUUUGUAGCUGUAAUAUAAUUAUUUUUUUUAAUUGGAAAUAAGGGAAAUUUAAUAUACUCCUUUGUUCUACAUUUUGUUGAUAUGGGUACUGCAAAAGUCAUUAUAGUCCGAACUACUGUUGUUAGAGGAAGAUUGCCAAAAAAUGGGAAGCAGGGAGUGAGCAUAGCUCGAAUGGUUAAGUUGACCAAGACUGUAAAUGCACCCAUACAACUGGAGUAAAUAAUACUGGUGAACGUUGAAAGUAAAAGAAGGAGGAAAUAAAAAGUUCAGUGCAGAAAAAGUAAAUUUUUAAAUUGAUUUCGAGCCACUGUGCGCGUUUGGAGCCAAGGAACAACUACAUUCAGUUUCAGUUCGCAUUAAUGCAGCGUGAAUUAAGUGUCAAGGACAUUUUUUGGUUUUGCUGCCAACGACGCAACAUGUUUCAGUCUCUGGCUGCCGCUCCUCCUGCCCCCGUUCGCAGGUCCUUGCCGCCGGUGGGUGGUGGUGUGUCUGUCUGUUGUCACGGGUCCUGUGUGCUGUGCGUGUGUGCUUCUGCUUUGGGUGACCGAAAAUGCGUUGCAACAUUCAAGUAAGUGACGUAAAUGCAUCACGGACACAACACCCACACCCACGCAUGUGGGCGGACAUUCGGACGGACGGAGUAAAUCAUCGUCAUCAUCAUCAUCGCCAUCACCAUCAUCGGGGGCACCAAAGGACAUUCACAUCCACCUCCUCGUCCCCGUCCUCGUACUCGUCCGCACAGGACACACUCGCACGCAGGCAUCAGAGGCAGUUAUGGCUGUCAAGAUGAAUGCCAUAUCAUCGCCGCACCGAAAAUGGUGUCAAAACGUCACCAACGGCGGUUCAGCCCUUCAGCAGUAAAACUGCAAACAGAAAACAGGACCUCCACUGUUGUUAUCCGGAUGAAUUAUGAGUUGUGCCCGGCCGGAGUCGGAGCCGAAGGAGGAGGAGCAACUGACCCCCAGUCCCGCCGCCCGCUGGAUUCCAGGCAAUCUGUCACUGGCCCCUGCCUCUGUGGGAAAAACGAAGUACGAGUAAUUUAUCCCACUCCACCCACUCCGAAUAACCGCAGAAAAUUAAAUGCUAAACGAAGACAUUUACAAUGCAGGACAUUCUGGGAACAGGACUCCUUACAAUGCAACUGAGAUUGAGGUUGGUGCUAACUAAACAGAGCUGAGGGGGAGGUGGCUGCUGGGAGGGCUCCUAACCAAUGGUAUGCGGUGUUGCAAAUCCUAUAAACAUUGCAUUAGUAUUCUAAAGAUAAAAUAGUUGCAUCGGAA
Molecule: long non-coding RNA, 1301 nt
Organism: Drosophila biarmipes
Lineage: Eukaryota; Metazoa; Arthropoda; Insecta; Diptera; Drosophilidae
Exons: 3
Source: RefSeq, a predicted model, not a curated record